Molecule: unclassified non-coding RNA, 392 nt
Filed under: soil metagenome
Description: partial contains 5.8S ribosomal RNA, internal transcribed spacer 2, and large subunit ribosomal RNA
Rfam family: 5.8S ribosomal RNA (bases 1-122)
Source: RNAcentral
GAUGAAGAACGCAGCGAAAUGCGAUACUUGGUGUGAAUUGCAGAAUCCCGUGAACCAUCGAGUCUUUGAACGCAAGUUGCGCCCGAAGCCACUAGGCCGAGGGCACGCCUGCCUGGGCGUCACACGUCGUUGCCCCCCACCAUCUACUCCUUCGGGAUUGCGGGGGGCGGAUGAUGGCCUCCCGUGCGCCUAGCCGCGCGGUUGGCAUAAAUACCAAGUCCUCGGCGACGCACGCCACGACAAUCGGUGGUUGCGAAACCUCGGUUGCCCGUCGUGUGCGUUCGUCGCGCGUCGAGGGCUCGAAAAAAUGCUCGGCUCCGGCUCGGCUUUCAACGCGACCCCAGGUCAGGCGGGGUUACCCGCUGAAUUUAAGCAUAUCAAUAAGCGGAGGA